AGUGAACGCUGGCGGUAGGCCUAACACAUGCAAGUCGAACGGCAGCACAGUAAGAGCUUGCUCUUACGGGUGGCGAGUGGCGGACGGGUGAGGAAUACAUCGGAAUCUACUUUUUCGUGGGGGAUAACGUAGGGAAACUUACGCUAAUACCGCAUACGACCUACGGGUGAAAGCAGGGGAUCUUCGGACCUUGCGCGAUUGAAUGAGCCGAUGUCGGAUUAGCUAGUUGGCGGGGUAAAGGCCCACCAAGGCGACGAUCCGUAGCUGGUCUGAGAGGAUGAUCAGCCACACUGGAACUGAGACACGGUCCAGACUCCUACGGGAGGCAGCAGCGGGGAAUAUUGGACAAUGGGCGCAAGCCUGAUCCAGCCAUACCGCGUGGGUGAAGAAGGCCUUCGGGUUGUAAAGCCCUUUUGUUGGGAAAGAAAAGCAGCAGGUUAAUACCCCGCUGUCCUGACGGUACCCAAAGAAUAAGCACCGGCUAACUUCGUG
This 492-nucleotide ribosomal RNA is filed under the name uncultured bacterium. Its description in RNAcentral is "partial 16S ribosomal RNA". It matches the Rfam family "Bacterial small subunit ribosomal RNA", at positions 29 to 507 of the family's 1533-position model. The record is from RNAcentral.